AAAAUCAAAGCCCUCAGGUUUUUUUCCUUCCCCUUCUAAUUGUCAUCUUUAAUUCAUGUUUCUGAUGCAUAAAUCCAUUAGUUUUUCCUGUAAUUCUCUUUCGGAACCCCCAGUACAGGAAACGCUCUUACUUUCAUCUCUCUCUCUGAUCUUUAGGUAUUAUCGCAAUUCCUCUCUCAAUUGGUGCUAUAGUAUUUCAUAAAAUUAUUAGAUUUAGGGUUGGGCAAACUGAUUUUAAGGAUUUUGAUUGUACUUUGCGUUCUGAUUUUGUUUGAGAUAGUCCCGUGUUUGGUUUAGAUGUAAGGCCUGAAGCUUUUCGAGAUGAAUCUUAACCAAGGAGGACUUGAAAAGCAUUUUGAGGUACCUGGCAGUCCUGCAGAUGCAGGACCACGGCCAACUUCGUUACUGGCCUUCAACUGUUGCAGCUGCUCUUGUCAUCCUGGCUUCUUUAGAAGACAAUCGUGAUGUGUCGUGCCAACGAGUAAUAGAGACUCAUGUGAGAACAGAAGGUGAUGAUCUACACUAGAGGUAUGGAUGAAUUCUGAUAUCAUGAAUUUUGAUCGCAUUUUCAUUUCUCCAUUUAAGUUCCUAAGAGUUUCGAUUGCAAUUUAAUAUAAUCAUUGUAUAUUAAUGUAGCUGACAAUGUGCUACAUUUGACAGAGCCUAGAUUGGUUGUUAAAGUAUGUAUGAGAGCAUCCUAGCAGGUAAAGGAACAUGUACAUCACCAUUCUGUUUCUGAUUUCCUACUCAUCUAAAGACAUAGACGGAAGGUAGAUUGAGCUGAGCCUUCUAAAGCCUGAUCAAGAGGUAAAAAAGAAUCUGAUUCUUUCGUCAAUCAACAUGACACUGCGGCAACUUGUAAUCACUCCAUAAAAAUAACAGAAAUUGUACCUUCUAAAUGGUUGCGAAGGCACACGUAAACUGUAAGAACUUCUGCUCGAAAAGCUUGCCAUUACUCAUGAUGAAAAUAUU
Pyrus x bretschneideri (Chinese white pear) is the source of this 972-nucleotide long non-coding RNA. RefSeq lists it as uncharacterized. NCBI's taxonomy places the organism in Eukaryota, Viridiplantae, Streptophyta, Magnoliopsida, Rosales, Rosaceae. The record is from RefSeq and is a predicted model, not a curated record. The transcript is spliced from 3 exons.